AUUGAACGCUGGCGGCAUGCCUUACACAUGCAAGUCGAACGAGUGGCGAACGGGUGAGUAAUAUAUCGGAACGUGCCCAGUCGUGGGGGAUAACGUAGCGAAAGUUACGCUAAUACCGCAUACGAUUGGAGCGGCCGAUAUCAGAUUAGGUAGUUGGUGGGGUAAAGGCUCACCAAGCCGACGAUCUGUAGCUGGUCUGAGAGGACGACCAGCCACACUGGGACUGAGACACGGCCCAGACUCCUACGGGAGGCAGCAGUGGGGAAUUUUGGACAAUGGGCGAAAGCCUGAUCCAGCCAUGCCGCGUGCAGGAUGAAGGCCUUCGGGUUGUAAACUGCUUUUGUACGGAACGCGGUACCGUAAGAAUAAGCACCGGCUAACUACGUGCCAGCAGCCGCGGUAAUAC
This 406-nucleotide ribosomal RNA is filed under the name uncultured bacterium. RNAcentral describes it as "partial 16S ribosomal RNA". It matches the Rfam family "Bacterial small subunit ribosomal RNA", at positions 30 to 526 of the family's 1533-position model. The record is from RNAcentral.